GUAUAAGAGACAGCAGUAGCCACGGUAAUACGAAGGGUGCAAGCGUUAAUCGGAAUUACUGGGCGUAAAGCGUGCGUAGGCGGUGAGUUAAGUCUGCUGUGAAAUCCCCGGGCUCAACCUGGGAAUGGCAGUGGAUACUGGCUCGCUAGAGUGUGUCAGAGGAUGGUGGAAUUCCCGGUGUAGCGGUGAAAUGCGUAGAGAUCGGGAGGAACAUCAGUGGCGAAGGCGGCCAUCUGGGACAACACUGACGCUGAGGCACGAAAGCGUGGGGAGCAAACAGGAUUAGAUACCCCUGUAGUCCCUGUCUCUUAUAC
This 314-nucleotide ribosomal RNA is filed under the name uncultured bacterium. RNAcentral's name for it is "partial 16S ribosomal RNA". It matches the Rfam family "Bacterial small subunit ribosomal RNA", at positions 495 to 807 of the family's 1533-position model. The record is from RNAcentral.